CCUACGGGAGGCAGCAGUGAGGAAUAUUGGUCAAUGGCCGAGAGGCUGAACCAGCCAAGUAGCGUGAGGGAAGACGGCCCUACGGGUUGUAAACCUCUUUUGUCGGGGAGCAAAGCGAACCACGUGUGGUUCAUUGCGAGUACCCGAAGAAAAAGCAUCGGCUAAAUCCGUGCCAGCAGCCGCGGUAAUACGGAGGAUGCGAGCGUUAUCCGGAUUUAUUGGGUUUAAAGGGUGGGCAGGCGGAGGUGCAAGCCAGCGGUCAAAUUGCGGGGCUCAACCCCGUACUGCCGUGGAAACUGAGUGGCUAGAGUGCAGGAGAGGUAAGCGGAAUUCCUAGUGUAGCGGUGAAAUGCGUAGAUAUUAGGAGGAACACCAGUGGCGAAGGCGGCUUACUGGACUGUAACUGACGUUGAGGCUCGAAAGCGUGGGGAGCAAACAGGAUUAGAUACCCGGGUAGUC
Molecule: ribosomal RNA, 459 nt
Filed under: uncultured bacterium
Lineage: Bacteria
Description: partial 16S ribosomal RNA
Rfam family: Bacterial small subunit ribosomal RNA
Source: RNAcentral